RNAcentral lists this ribosomal RNA (341 nucleotides) under Platyura marginata. RNAcentral's name for it is "partial 16S ribosomal RNA". The record is from RNAcentral. Lineage: Eukaryota; Metazoa; Arthropoda; Insecta; Diptera; Keroplatidae.
UUUUUUAAUUAGAAACUAGAAUGAAUGGUUGAACAAAAUAUUAGCUGUCUCAAGAAAAUUUUACUAGAAUUUUAUUUUUAAGUUAAAAAGCUUAAAUAAAUUUAUUAGACGAGAAGACCCUAUAGAGUUUUAUAUUAUUUUAUAUUUUAUUUAUAUAGAAUUAUUAAUAUUUUAUUUAAAAUAAUAUUAUAUUGGGGUGAUAUUAAUAUUAAAUUAACUUUUAUUUUUUAUUUACAUUUAUAUAUGAAAAAUUGAUCCAUUAUUAUUGAUUAGAAAUUUAAAUUACCUUAGGGAUAACAGCGUAAUUUUUUUUAAAAGUUCAUAUUAAUAAAAUAGAUUGC